ACAUGCAAGUCGGGCGAGGACUUCGGUCCUAGCGGCGGACGGGUGAGUAACGCGUGGGAACGUGCCCUUUGGUACGGAAUAGCCCCGGGAAACUGGGAGUAAUACCGUAUGGUGUCUUCGGACUAAAGAUUUAUCGCCAAAGGAUCGGCCCGCGUUGGAUUAGGUAGUUGGUGGGGUAAUGGCCUACCAAGCCGACGAUCCAUAGCUGGUUUGAGAGGAUGAUCAGCCACACUGGGACUGAGACACGGCCCAGACUCCUACGGGAGGCAGCAGUGGGGAAUCUUAGACAAUGGGGGCAACCCUGAUCUAGCCAUGCCGCGUGAGUGAUGAAGGCCCUAGGGUUGUAAAGCUCUUUCAGCUGGGAAGAUAAUGACGGUACCAGCAGAAGAAGCCCCGGCUAACUCCGUG
Molecule: ribosomal RNA, 408 nt
Filed under: uncultured bacterium
Lineage: Bacteria
Description: bacterial SSU rRNA
Rfam family: Bacterial small subunit ribosomal RNA
Source: RNAcentral